UUUUCUUGUCAGUCCCUUGUAUAUUAAACUGAUUUUUGGAAAAUGACGGAGUGCUAGGGGCUUGCUCCACCUCUGUCGCGGGUUGACCCGGUAUUGCAGUACCUCCGGGACCGGCCCACCUAAU
This 124-nucleotide small nuclear RNA is filed under the name Diaphorina citri (Asian citrus psyllid). RNAcentral describes it as "U2 spliceosomal RNA". It matches the Rfam family "U2 spliceosomal RNA". From Rfam's summary of the family: U2 is a small nuclear RNA (snRNA) component of the spliceosome (involved in pre-mRNA splicing). Complementary binding between U2 snRNA (in an area lying towards the 5' end but 3' to hairpin I) and the branchpoint sequence (BPS) of the intron results the bulging out of an unpaired adenosine, on the BPS, which initiates a nucleophilic attack at the intronic 5' splice site, thus starting the first of two transesterification reactions that mediate splicing. Lineage: Eukaryota; Metazoa; Arthropoda; Insecta; Hemiptera; Psyllidae. The record is from Rfam by way of RNAcentral.